CUCAGUGAAGAAACCAACACUCUCCACAAUGUCUUUCUGUUUGCUGCUAGUUAUAAUCACAUUCAUUGGCACCAGCAGACAAGACAGCAUUACUCCAACAUCUCCUGCUGUCCAUGUAAAAGAAAAGGAAGCAGCCAGAAUUUCUUGUGAAUACAAGUACACAGUGUCCAUGAAUAAUCUGCAGUGGUAUCGCCAAUAUCCCAAUGCUAAGCCAGAAUUCCUGGUUCUAAUCAUGGAGUCAGGACAAAAUCAAACUGCGACACCGCCUCACCCCCGACUGACCACCUCAGUUAAUAAAGACAAAAAGCUGGUGAAUCUGGAAAUCUUCCCCGCGGAUGUGAAGGAUUCUGCUGUGUAUUACUGUGCACUGCAGCCCACAGUGACAGGAAACACACGCGCACCAUACAAAAACCUACUCAUACAUAUAGAAACCAUCUGA
Danio rerio (zebrafish) is the source of this 439-nucleotide non-coding RNA. NCBI's taxonomy places the organism in Eukaryota, Metazoa, Chordata, Actinopteri, Cypriniformes, Danionidae. The record is from the annotation of a RefSeq genome assembly.